CGACAAACAGGAUAUUCAUCUACGCAGUAAUGGACAUUCUCACCUUCAUACACUAUCGCCUUACCCGCCCACUGUCAGGUGGGGAAGUGUUCAUUUCACAUACCCUGGCUGUGUACCCUGGACGCAGAUAAGAUGAAGGUUGUGUGUCUACUUCUCGUUGUCGGUCUUGUAUUGGGUCUAACAGACCGCUCAAGUUCUUUCCUUUGGCGAAAACGUAGGGGGUUCAACCCCUGUCGUGUCAUUGCCUGUGACUAUCACAAGACAAGGGAGAUAACUCGUGACGACAAUGCAGUCAUCGACGUGAACAACGUUAAAGAUGGUGUUUCCCGAGACGUACAGGAAUUGCCUGAAGCAGAUCAGUCUGUAUAGUCGAUGGAAUCUCAGGAUGACAUUAAGGCUGAAUCUAAAGGAUGAUUUUAAGGCCAUAUGCGUAAUGACAAUUGUUCAAAAUCUUUAUCAUAAUAUAUCGCAUCUCCUGAUCAUAAA
Long non-coding RNA from Haliotis rufescens (red abalone), 486 nucleotides. RefSeq lists it as uncharacterized. The record is from RefSeq and is a predicted model, not a curated record. The transcript has 3 exons. NCBI's taxonomy places the organism in Eukaryota, Metazoa, Mollusca, Gastropoda, Lepetellida, Haliotidae.